GGGNNUGCCCUAGUAACGGCGAGUGAAGCGGCAACAGCUCAAAUUUGAAAGCUGGCUCUCGGGCCCGCAUUGUAAUUUGCAGAGGAUGCUUCUGGCGACGCGCCUUCCGAGUUCCCUGGAACGGGACGCCAUAGAGGGUGAGAGCCCCGUCCGGUCGUGCGCCUAGCCUCUGUGAAGCUCCUUCGACGAGUCGAGUAGUUUGGGAAUGCUGCUCAAAAUGGGAGGUAUACGUCUUCUAAAGCUAAAUACCGGCCAGAGACCGAUAGCGCACAAGUAGAGUGAUCGAAAGAUGAAAAGCACUUUGAAAAGAGAGUUAAAAAGUACGUGAAAUUGUUGAAAGGGAAGCGCUCAUGACCAGACUUGGGCUGGCCCGAUCAUCCGGCGUUCUCGCCGGUGCACUCGGGCCGCCCAGGCCAGCAUCAGCUUUCGCCGGGGGAUAAAGGCGGCGGGAAUGUGGCUCCCUCGGGAGUGUUAUAGCCCGCCGUGCAAUACCCUGGUGGGGGCUGAGGUUCGCGCGUAUGCACGGAUGCUGGCGUAAUGGUUAUCAGCGACCCGUCUUGAAACACGGACCAAGGAGUCGUCUUCGUAUGCGAGUGUUCGGGUGUCAAACCCCUACGCGGAAUGAAAGUGAACGCUGGUGAGAGCUUCGGCGCAUCACCGACCGAUCCUGAUGUUCUCGGACGGAUUUGAGUAAGAGCAUACGGGGCCGGACCCGAAAGAAGGUGAACUAUGCCUGUAUAGGGUGAAGCCAGAGGAAACUCUGGUGGAGGCUCGCAGCGGUUCUGACGUGCAAAUCGAUCGUCAAAUAUGGGCAUGGGGGCGAAAGACUAAUCGAACCUUCUAG
Molecule: ribosomal RNA, 844 nt
Filed under: Trichothecium roseum
Lineage: Eukaryota; Fungi; Ascomycota; Sordariomycetes; Hypocreales
Description: LSU rRNA
Rfam family: Eukaryotic large subunit ribosomal RNA
Source: RNAcentral